RNAcentral lists this ribosomal RNA (253 nucleotides) under uncultured bacterium. RNAcentral's name for it is "partial 16S ribosomal RNA". It matches the Rfam family "Bacterial small subunit ribosomal RNA", at positions 524 to 776 of the family's 1533-position model. The record is from RNAcentral.
UACGUAGGGGGCGAGCGUUGUCCGGAUUUAUUGGGCGUAAAGAGCGUGUAGGCGGCCUGACAGGUCUGCUGUGAAAACUCGAGGCUCAACCUCGAGAUGUCGGCGGAAACCGUCUGGCUAGAGUCCGGAAGAGGAGAGUGGAAUUCCUGGUGUAGCGGUGAAAUGCGCAGAUAUCAGGAAGAACACCUAUGGCGAAGGCAGCUCUCUGGGACGGUACUGACGCUGAGACGCGAAAGCGUGGGGAGCGAACAGG